This 460-nucleotide ribosomal RNA is filed under the name uncultured bacterium. Its description in RNAcentral is "partial 16S ribosomal RNA". It matches the Rfam family "Bacterial small subunit ribosomal RNA", at positions 338 to 795 of the family's 1533-position model. The record is from RNAcentral.
CCUACGGGGGGCAGCAGUGAGGAAUAUUGGUCAAUGGGCGCGAGCCUGAACCAGCCAAGUAGCGUGAAGGAUGACUGCCCUACGGGUUGUAAACUUCUUUUAUAAAGGAAUAAAGUGAGGAACGUGUGCCUUUUUGUAUGUACUUUAUGAAUAAGGAUCGGCUAACUCCGUUCCAGCAGCCGCGGUAAUACGGAGGAUCCGAGCGUUAUCCGGAUUUAUUGGGUUUAAAGGGAGCGUAGGUGGGUUUUUAAGUCAGUUGUGAAAGUUUGCGGCUCAACCGUAAUAUUGCAAUUGAUACUGGCAGCCUUGAGUACAGUUGAGGUAUGCGGAAUUCGUGGUGUAGCGGUGAAAUGCUUAGAUAUCACGAAGAACUCCGAUUGCGAAGGCAGCUUACUAAUCUGCCACUGACAUUGAUGCUCGAAAGUGUGGGUAUCAAACAGGAUUAGAUACCCGUGUAGUC